Molecule: ribosomal RNA, 320 nt
Filed under: uncultured bacterium
Lineage: Bacteria
Description: bacterial SSU rRNA
Rfam family: Bacterial small subunit ribosomal RNA
Source: RNAcentral
AACGAACGCUGGCGGCAUGCCUAACACAUGCAAGUCGAACGGGGUUUUCGGACCUAGCGGCGGACGGGUGAGUAAUGCGUAGGAAGCUGCCCGAUAGAGGGGGAUACCAGUUGGAAACGACUGUUAAUACCGCAUAAUGUCUACGGACCAAAGUGUGGGACCUUCGGGCCGACAUGCUGUCGGAUGCGCCUACGUGGGAUUAGCUAGUUGGUGAGGUAAUGGCUCACCAAGGCGACGAUCCCUAGCUGGUUUGAGAGGAUGAUCAGCCACACUGGAACUGAGACACGGUCCAGACUCCUACGGGAGGCAGCAGUGGGGAA